This 249-nucleotide ribosomal RNA is filed under the name Triticum aestivum (bread wheat). Its description in RNAcentral is "partial small subunit ribosomal RNA". Lineage: Eukaryota; Viridiplantae; Streptophyta; Magnoliopsida; Poales; Poaceae. The record is from RNAcentral.
AUGGAGUGGAGCCACCAAACAAUUUAUGAGAUUUCCGCCAUGGACGCCGCCUCGCUCAUGGGCUCCUCCUCCGCCGACGCGCGCACCGACGGGGAGCACCGGAUGGGCAUCACCAUCAUGGGCGUCUGCUACGACGGCAGCGUCCUCGCCGCUGACACUCAGGACCAGCACCGAGAGGUUCCACAACUUCGGUUUGGCUAUCAUCAAAAUUGGAGGAGAGCCCGAUGCAUUGGAGAGCAUCAUCCGUGA